AAAAAAUUAGUUAAUUAUUAUAAUAUUAGUUUGUCAGACUAAAGUUACUCGGGAGUAUUUUUUU
This 64-nucleotide transfer RNA is filed under the name Halice sp. JL-2018. RNAcentral describes it as "tRNA-Asp". The record is from RNAcentral. Lineage: Eukaryota; Metazoa; Arthropoda; Malacostraca; Amphipoda; Pardaliscidae.